UUACUUACCUGGCAGUGGAGAUACCAUGAUCAGGCAGGUGUUUUUCCCAGGGCGAGUCUCAUCUCUUGCACUCCAGCUGCGCUGACCACUGCAAUUUCCCCAAAUGUGGGAAAAUCAAUUGCUUAAUUUGUGGUAGUGGGGGACUGCGUUCAUGCUCUUCUCUU
This 164-nucleotide small nuclear RNA is filed under the name Opisthocomus hoazin. Its description in RNAcentral is "U1 spliceosomal RNA". It matches the Rfam family "U1 spliceosomal RNA". From Rfam's summary of the family: U1 is a small nuclear RNA (snRNA) component of the spliceosome (involved in pre-mRNA splicing). Its 5' end forms complementary base pairs with the 5' splice junction, thus defining the 5' donor site of an intron. Lineage: Eukaryota; Metazoa; Chordata; Aves; Opisthocomiformes; Opisthocomidae. The record is from Rfam by way of RNAcentral.